This 292-nucleotide ribosomal RNA is filed under the name Ornithodoros coriaceus. Its description in RNAcentral is "partial 16S ribosomal RNA". The stretch from base 139 to 292 matches the Rfam family "Bacterial large subunit ribosomal RNA", at positions 2473 to 2620 of the family's 2925-position model. Lineage: Eukaryota; Metazoa; Arthropoda; Arachnida; Ixodida; Argasidae. The record is from RNAcentral.
GAUUUUAUAUUUUAAUUAAGAUUAUUAGAAAUUUAUUUUUUAGUUAUGAUUGGGGUGAUUUUUAAAGAUUAUUAAUCUUUAAAAUUUUUUAAUAAAAAAGUUCCAUUAGUAGUGAUUUUUUGAUAAAAAUACUCUAGGGAUAACAGCGUUAUUAUUUUGGAUAGUUCAUAUAGAUAAAAUAGUUUGCGACCUCGAUGUUGGAUUAGAGAUCGGAUUCUUUUAUGAUGAAGAAGUUAUAAGGGAGAAGUUUGCUCAACUUUUAAAGUCCUACUUGAUCUGAGUUCAGACGGGA